Molecule: ribosomal RNA, 439 nt
Filed under: uncultured bacterium
Lineage: Bacteria
Description: bacterial SSU rRNA
Rfam family: Bacterial small subunit ribosomal RNA
Source: RNAcentral
GCUUAACGCGAAGAACCUUACCACCCCUUGACAUCCUGCGAACUUUCUAGAGAUAGAUUGGUGCCUUCGGGAGCGCAGAGACAGGUGCUGCAUGGCUGUCGUCAGCUCGUGUUGUGAAAUGUUGGGUUAAGUCCCGUAACGAGCGCAACCCUUGUCCUUAGUUGCCAGCGAGUAAUGUCGGGAACUCUAAGGAGACUGCCGGUGACAAACCGGAGGAAGGUGGGGACGACGUCAAGUCAUCAUGGCCCUUACGGGGUGGGCUACACACGUGCUACAAUGGCCGGUACAGACGGUUGCAAACCCGCGAGGGGGAGCCAAUCCGAGAAAACCGGUCGUAGUCCGGAUCGCAGUCUGCAACUCGACUGCGUGAAGUCGGAAUCGCUAGUAAUCGCGGAUCUGAAUGCCGCGGUGAAUACGUUCCCGGGUCUUGUACACACCG